AUUGAACGCUGGCGGCAGGCUUAACACAUGCAAGUCGAGCGGAGCGAGGGUGCUUGCACCUUAGCUUAGCGGCGGACGGGUGAGUAAUGCUUAGGAAUCUGCCUAUUAGUGGGGGACAACAUUCCGAAAGGGAUGCUAAUACCGCAUACGCCCUACGGGGGAAAGCAGGGGAUCACUUGUGACCUUGCGCUAAUAGAUGAGCCUAAGUCGGAUUAGCUAGUUGGUGGGGUAAAGGCCUACCAAGGCGACGAUCUGUAGCGGGUCUGAGAGGAUGAUCCGCCACACUGGGACUGAGACACGGCCCAGACUCCUACGGGAGGCAGCAGUGGGGAAUAUUGGACAAUGGGGGGAACCCUGAUCCAGCCAUGCCGCGUGUGUGAAGAAGGCCUUUUGGUUGUAAAGCACUUUAAGCGAGGAGGAGGCGCUCUAGGAUAAUACCCUAGAUGCGUGGACGUA
RNAcentral lists this ribosomal RNA (456 nucleotides) under Acinetobacter sp. oral taxon C51. Its description in RNAcentral is "bacterial SSU rRNA". It matches the Rfam family "Bacterial small subunit ribosomal RNA", at positions 30 to 476 of the family's 1533-position model. Lineage: Bacteria; Pseudomonadati; Pseudomonadota; Gammaproteobacteria; Moraxellales; Moraxellaceae. The record is from RNAcentral.